GACAGAGGAUGCAAGCGUUAUCCGGAAUGAUUGGGCGUAAAGCGUCUGUAGGUGGCUUUUUAAGUCCGCCGUCAAAUCCCAGGGCUCAACCCUGGACAGGCGGUGGAAACUACCAAGCUGGAGUACGGUAGGGCAGAGGGAAUUCCGGUGGAGCGGUGAAAUGCGUAGAGAUCGGAAAGACACCAACGGCGAAAGCACUCUGCUGGGCCGACACUGACACUGAGGAGCGAAAGCGUGGGGGAGCGAACAGG
This 251-nucleotide ribosomal RNA is filed under the name uncultured bacterium. RNAcentral describes it as "partial 16S ribosomal RNA". It matches the Rfam family "Bacterial small subunit ribosomal RNA", at positions 524 to 776 of the family's 1533-position model. The record is from RNAcentral.